GCACCCGUUUAGAUCAGUGGUCGAGAGCUGGCUUUGGAUGCCACAGGUCGGUGGUUCGAUUCCACCCGGGCGCA
This 74-nucleotide transfer RNA is filed under the name Phytophthora infestans T30-4. RNAcentral describes it as "tRNA-Pro". It matches the Rfam family "tRNA". From Rfam's summary of the family: Transfer RNA (tRNA) molecules are approximately 80 nucleotides in length. Their secondary structure includes four short double-helical elements and three loops (D, anti-codon, and T loops). The record is from RNAcentral. Lineage: Eukaryota; Oomycota; Peronosporomycetes; Peronosporales; Peronosporaceae.